AUUGAACGCUGGCGGCAGGCCUAACACAUGCAAGUCGAGCGGAUGAAGGGAGCUUGCUCCUGGAUUCAGCGGCGGACGGGUGAGUAAUGCCUAGGAAUCUGCCUGGUAGUGGGGGAUAACGUCCGGAAACGGGCGCUAAUACCGCAUACGUCCUGAGGGAGAAAGUGGGGGAUCUUCGGACCUCACGCUAUCAGAUGAGCCUAGGUCGGAUUAGCUAGUUGGUGGGGUAAAGGCCUACCAAGGCGACGAUCCGUAACUGGUCUGAGAGGAUGAUCAGUCACACUUGAACUGAGACACGGUCCAGACUCCUACGGGAGGCAGCAGUGGGGAAUAUUGGACAAUGGGCGAAAGCCUGAUCCAGCCAUGCCGCGUGUGUGAAGAAGGUCUUCGGAUUGUAAAGCACUUUAAGUUGGGAGGAAGGGCAGUAAGUUAAUACCUUGCUGUUUUGACGUUACCAACAGAAUAAGCACCGGCUAACUU
RNAcentral lists this ribosomal RNA (480 nucleotides) under uncultured bacterium. Its description in RNAcentral is "partial 16S ribosomal RNA". It matches the Rfam family "Bacterial small subunit ribosomal RNA", at positions 30 to 503 of the family's 1533-position model. The record is from RNAcentral.